Anolis carolinensis (green anole) is the source of this 1152-nucleotide long non-coding RNA. RefSeq lists it as uncharacterized. The record is from RefSeq and is a predicted model, not a curated record. Lineage: Eukaryota; Metazoa; Chordata; Lepidosauria; Squamata; Anolidae. The transcript has 3 exons.
CACCAUUUCUUCUUUUUUAGAAACUCAACCUGCAGUUCCAGAGACCACCCCAAAGGAAGAAAACUAUACCACUCUCUCUCAAGAACCUACUACUGGUUUUCUUCCAGAUGAAAGGACUACUAGACAACAAACCACCAGUAAGUGUGCAUCCCAAUGUUUAAUUGUUUAAUGUUUUAUUGAUGUCCUGACAAGUGUAAGUAAAAUAAAACUCAGGUAAAAAUAAAUUGUUAGAAAGAAUAACAAAUAUGUGACAACAUAGAACAUGAAAAUCUCUUUCUCCCUGAGUAAUUACUUCUCAAGGCCUUGCCAAAACAAAAAGGUUUCACCUACCUAUGAAAGGAUAGCAGAAAGAACAAUGCUUUAACCUGUUUAGAAAGAGAGAUGCUUGGGAGCAGCCAUGGAGAAGGCCAUCUCCUGUGUUCCCACCAGACAUACCUGUAAUUAUAGUGGACCAGAGAAAAUGGCACUUUCUCUGUAUAGUCACAUUCAUAUAAGGAUAUAUGAUCCUGGCAGGUUGUGGGACUGAUUCAACAAGGAACUUGUAUGGUCCUUGCAGUCAUUUUGUCAGCUGCUUUUUGGAUUAACUGAAGUUUCAGUAGAGCACAUAAAAGUAAUCAAAAAAUAAUUAUUAGCCAUUUUAAUAGAAAUUGUAAAAAAAAAAGUACUAGCUCUCAGGCUGGUGGUCAUAUUUAUGGGAGUUUAUGUCCCUUCAAAAUUUGAAAAGUUGCAUGGAUUCUUUUUUUUAAAGAUUGCCUUGGAUCUCUUUACUAGUCUGUUUAAUCAAGGAAAAAAUACAAAUUGAUGAUUAUAUCCCAAAAUUAUAUUUAUAACGACUAUUCCAAAUACAGCAGACUCCCAGGGCACAUCCAGACAGCACCUAAAGUGCACGCCCUCCCGUGUUUUCCCCUGGGGCAUCCAGUCAACAUCUUAGGGAAAAAUUAAUGCGUUCAGUACAAACCCUGCUUGGUGCUGAGGUAAUUUGUCUGCUGGAAAGACCCGGGUUUUUCGGAAGACUCGUGUCUUUCCAGGUGUGGGGACUUUGUAGGUGGGACUGGGGAUAGCGCCAUGUGACUUCUGGUGCCCACCUACACAUCUGUUUUGGGUUUCUUGGCCUUAUGGAGCCCAAGCAUCCCGAGACAGCCCCCACUCCCU